GGAAACUGUUAAACUUGAGUGCAGGAGAGAAAAGUGGAAUUCCUAGUGUAGCGGUGAAAUGCGUAGAGAUUAGGAGGAACACCAGUGGCGAAGGCGGCUUUUUGGCCUGUAACUGACACUGAGGCGCGAAAGCGUGGGGAGCAAACAGGAUUAGAUACCCUGGUAGUCCACGCCGUAAACGAUGAGUGCUAAGUGUUGGUCUCAUAAGAGAUCAGUGCUGCAGCUAACGCAUUAAGCACUCCGCCUGGGGAGUACGACCGCAAGGUUGAAACUCAAGGGAAUUGACGGGGACCCGCACAAGCGGUGGAGCAUGUGGUUUAAUUCGAAGCAACGCGAAGAACCUUACCAAGUCUUGACAUACUGUGAGGACACAAGAGAUUGUGUUGUUCUGACCUUUGGUUAGACACAGAUACAGGUGGUGCAUGGUUGUCGUCAGCUCGUGUCGUGAGAUGUUGGGUUAAGUCCCGCAACGAGCGCAACCCUUAUAUCUAGUUGCCAGCAGUAAGAUGGGGACUCUAGAUAGACUGCCAGUGAUAAACUGGAGGAAGGUGGGGAUGACGUCAAAUCAUCAUGCCCCUUAUGACUUGGGCUACACACGUGCUACAAUGGAUAGGAACAAAGAGAAGCGAGCUCGCGAGAGUAAGCAAACCUCACAAAACUAUUCUCAGUUCGGAUUGUAGUCUGCAACUCGACUACAUGAAGCUGGAAUCGCUAGUAAUCGCGAAUCAGAAUGUCGCGGUGAAUACGUUCCCGGGUCUUGUACACACCGCCCGUCACACCACGAGAGUUUGUAACACCCGAAGACGGUGGCCUAACCUUUUAGGAGGGAGCCGGUCACGGUGGGACAGAUGAUUGGGGUGAAGUCGUAACAAGGUAGCCGUAUCGGAAGG
RNAcentral lists this ribosomal RNA (890 nucleotides) under uncultured Gemella sp. RNAcentral describes it as "bacterial SSU rRNA". It matches the Rfam family "Bacterial small subunit ribosomal RNA", at positions 628 to 1512 of the family's 1533-position model. Lineage: Bacteria; Bacillati; Bacillota; Bacilli; Caryophanales; Gemellaceae. The record is from RNAcentral.